CUAUCCUCUUCCAUGAAUUUUGAAUUUCUAGGUUUAGGGUUAUUGUUUUUUGGGAGCGGUGCAGGGGAAGAGGAAGAAAGACCAAGAAAUGAAAGGAUAGAAAAAUGAGGAGCUCAGGUGAUGGAGGUAAUGCUGGAGAAGGGCUCCUGGCUGUGGGAUCAGAGGUGUAGAUCAUAGCGGAGGAGAUGAGCCAUGUGGAUGGCAUAGAAGAGGGGAGCUCAAGGCUGCGGAGACGAAGGAACAACAGUAGAGUAUCAGGCGCUUCGAUCUAGCUGAGAUCUUUUUUUGUUUGUCACGGCAAACGAGGAAUUGGAAUUCUGCCAAGAAAUCUAGGAGUGGAAGAAUAUGUAUGCAAGGGACUUGGAGACGAGGCAAUGGUGCGCUGGCGAAAACACUAUUGUUCUGAUGCAUUAGGAUUGGGGUUCGGCUGCUCUUCAGUUUGUUAUAUCAAGGUUUUGAAGCUUUGGGAGCCUGCGGCCGGUUCGACGGGUGACAUCAGCAAGCGCCGGCCAGCCUCGGCACAGCUGCGGGUGGUUAUAUGGUGGGCGGAGUACACGAGUGGGUUCCGAUGUCAGGGUACGGUGGCAAGCUAAAUCCUGAGUCCAGCUAGGCUUUUUUUUCGUUCAGAUUUUGUUACUGUUUUCCAUUCGGGAUUUCAUGGUGAGCAAACCUAGUAUUUGCAGUUGUUUGUUUCAGAAAUUCAUGUCCUGACAUCAAAAUUCGUUUGUAAGGUAAAUCCUGCCAACAAGUCGAUGCUAUGGGCUUACUAGUUCUCUUAGUUUUUCUAUUCUAAUUUUGUAUGUAAUUUAGAUGAAUACUGUCUAUUUAAUUCAGGGAUACGUUCAACAUGCUUGUGAGGUACAGAUUUUGUAGGUCCAGUUGUAAGUGUUUGCUUGAUUUGUCGCUCAAGUUUCAUGUUCUAAUGAUGCUCCUUGACUUCAAUACAAUGUUGGCAUGUAGGAUGACCAUCUAUGCAACUUAUCAUGCACAAAUUAAAAAAAGCUUGGCUCAUCUUCUGCAUGUCUUCAAGGAAUAAUUUCUGAUGUAUAACGAGAUAAUGAUUUUUUCUUUUUAUUUCUUAUCAUGCGGCUAGUUGCCACAAAAAAUUAACACAUACAUCGCCACUUAUCAUUAAAACAAAAUCAUAUCUGCCAAGUUUCUACAUUCCGUCGAAGCUUGCAGAUUUACAUCUAUUUUGGUACAUUAUUAAAACAAAUCGUAACCAUGGAUUCUAUAUGGAAGAUCGAAAUAUCAUUUUUACAUUAGGUUCAUGUACUCUCAAGGAAUCGACUUUGUUCAUCUUCAACCCAUUUUCCUAUCUUGCAAAGCUAUCCAUUCAAGUAUGGUCAAUUUCUACUCUGUGACUUAAUACAUUUGUAACACUGUCAUCGUGCCAUUGACAUGCCUUUUUUUCGCCCCAUUUAAUAUUGAUUCAUCUACAUGGUUAUAUGCAUGUUUUUGCAUACAUAACUUAUCCAGUCCGCUAUUGAUCAUUUUCAUUUUUCAUCCCAGCAGUACGCCGAUAGCCUAUCCAGGCUGCUAUUGAUCAUUUCCAUUUUUCAUCCCGGCAGUAUGCCGAUAUCUAUAAUCGAGCCAAUAGUUCCAAAACAUUGCUUCACAAUUACUCGGCAGUAUUUGUCUAUUUGGGCAGCACAUAGCUGGCUUCGGUGGGUGGCAUGUCAUGUCCAUUCUCAAUUGAAGUUGCUCUGAAAAUAUCGAACUCUGCCAUGAAAUAGAAAAGAUAGAACUUUCCUUCACAUCGUUGAUUUUUCUUAGUCUUCCUUUUGUGAAGCUGUGUAGCAUUCUUCCUUUUACUAGCUGUAAUUUCGUCUUGUGUUGUAAUACAUGGAUCUGUUAAUUUAUCCAUCCUAAUUAUUUAAUGUUGAAUUCCAAUAUCUGGUGAGUGGGAUAUGUACUAACAAGUUAUUUUGCAGAUAACCACCGUCCAUAGCUCUCAUGUGAAUGUGGCAAGGCCACAAAACAAGUUUUCCAUCGCCAGAUAUCCAACAGAUCAACUAGUGUUAUGGAUGCUUCUUAUAGAUAUUUUUUUGUCAUUUCAAACAUCAAACACCAACUAUUCACAAUGGAGACAGGAAACGUGUAGCUUCUCAUGUCAACUAAGUGAGCCUGCCAAUUGUGGCAAUGGAAGGAGGUGGCAUGUCGCCUCAUUCAUGAGGCUGUUAGUUUCAUAACAGACAUUUUCCAGUUGCAUAUCUUUUGUAAAGUGUUCAGACUGUUUUUUUUAGCAAAGAAAUAAAAUUUCUAAGACUUUAUCUAA
Long non-coding RNA from Triticum dicoccoides, 2278 nucleotides. RefSeq lists it as uncharacterized. The record is from RefSeq and is a predicted model, not a curated record. The transcript is spliced from 3 exons. NCBI's taxonomy places the organism in Eukaryota, Viridiplantae, Streptophyta, Magnoliopsida, Poales, Poaceae.